AAACCUGCAACUACUCAAAGUCU
RNAcentral lists this small nuclear RNA (23 nucleotides) under Arabidopsis thaliana (thale cress). RNAcentral describes it as "snRNA_11901". Lineage: Eukaryota; Viridiplantae; Streptophyta; Magnoliopsida; Brassicales; Brassicaceae. The record is from RNAcentral.